GACGAACGCUGGCGGCGUGCUUAACACAUGCAAGUCGAACGCUGAAGCUCAGCUUUUGUUGGGUGGAUGAGUGGCGAGCGGGUGAGUAACACGUGAGUAACCUGCCCCCUUCUUUGGGAUAACGCCCGGAAACGGGUGCUAAUACUGGAUAUUCACUGGUCUUCGCAUGGGGGUUGGUGGAAAGGGUUUUUCUGGUGGGGGAUGGGCUCGCGGCCUAUCAGCUUGUUGGUGGGGUGAUGGCCUACCAAGGCUUUGACGGGUAGCCGGCCUGAGAGGGUGACCGGUCACAUGGCGACUGAGGUACGGCCCAGACGCGUACGAGAGGCAGCAGUGGGGAGUAUUGCAGAAUGGGCGCAAGCCUGAUGCAGCGACGCCGCGUGAGGGAUGGAGGCCUUCGGGUUGUGAACCUCUUUCGCUCAUGGUCAAGCCGCAACAAUGGGUGUGGUGAGGGUAGUGGGUAAAGAAGCGCCGGCUAACUACGUG
RNAcentral lists this ribosomal RNA (483 nucleotides) under uncultured bacterium. RNAcentral describes it as "partial 16S ribosomal RNA". It matches the Rfam family "Bacterial small subunit ribosomal RNA", at positions 28 to 507 of the family's 1533-position model. The record is from RNAcentral.